Molecule: ribosomal RNA, 594 nt
Filed under: uncultured bacterium
Lineage: Bacteria
Description: bacterial SSU rRNA
Rfam family: Bacterial small subunit ribosomal RNA
Source: RNAcentral
AGUUGGUAAGGUAACGGCUUACCAAGGCGACGAUGUUUAGGGGACCUGAGAGGGUUGUCCCCCACACUGGUACUGAGACACGGACCAGACCCCUACGGGAGGCAGCAGUGAGGAAUAUUGGUCAAUGGGCGCAAGCCUGAACCAGCCAUCCCGCGUGAAGGAAGAAUGCGCUACGCGUUGUAAACUUCUUUUCCAGGGGGAGAAUAAUCCUGUCGUGACAGGACUUGACGGUACUCUGGGAAUAAGCAUCGGCUAACUCCGUGCCAGCAGCCGCGGUAAUACGGAGGAUGCGAGCGUUAUCCGGAUUUAUUGGGUUUAAAGGGUGCGUAGGCGGAUUGAUAAGUCAGUGGUGAAAUUCUACAGCUUAACUGUAGACUUGCCGUUGAUACUGUUAGUCUUGAGUGUGGUCAAGGCAGGCGGAAUGUGUAAUGUAGCGGUGAAAUGCUUAGAUAUUACACAGAACACCGAUUGCGAAGGCAGCUUGCUGGGUCAUUACUGACGCUGAUGCACGAAAGCGUGGGGAUCAAACAGGAUUAGAUACCCUGGUAGUCCACGCCGUAAACUAUGAUCACUCGCUGUUGGCGAUACACAGUC